Long non-coding RNA from Chinchilla lanigera (long-tailed chinchilla), 536 nucleotides. RefSeq lists it as uncharacterized. NCBI's taxonomy places the organism in Eukaryota, Metazoa, Chordata, Mammalia, Rodentia, Chinchillidae. The record is from RefSeq and is a predicted model, not a curated record. The transcript is spliced from 3 exons.
CCAGUCACCGUGUUUGCUUCCUCAGGGCUAUAUAUACUGGUGGCAUUUGCAGUUAGGGUUGUGAUACAAAAAAGCAAACAACUAUAUUUCAGUCAUACACUUUCCUGUUUCCUUUUCGAAUCUUCAGAAGCAAAUGAUUUCUUUUUUCCUUGGCCAGUACAGAUCCUCCUGGGAUGACUUCUGAUUAAAACUCCAGCGAGUAGUUGGGAAAGCUUCAGCUAAAGAAGUGGCAUUGGGAAGGACCCACAUCUUCCUGACCUGGUGGAGCUCAGCGAAAGUAUUUAUGAGCAGACAGCCUGGCCCGCCCAGAUUGCACACACUGAGACUCUGUGAGAAGCUAAGCCACGGCGUCUUCCCUACCGCUCCCCAGGACAGGAAUGCUACGGGUAAGGAGCGUUUGGUAGUUCAUGGAGCUUCCGUUCACCAACCUGGAAAUGGCGUUCAUCCUGCUGGCCUUUGUCAUCUUCUCCUUGUUUACCCUGGCUUCCAUCUACACCAGCCCGGAUGAGAGGGACGAAGAAGAACACCAAAUAAAG